UACAGAGGGUGCAAGCGUUAAUCGGAGUUACUGGGCGUAAAGGGCGCGUAGGCGGUGAUGUGAGUGUGAUGUGAAAGCCCCGGGCUUAACCUGGGAAGUGCAUCGCAAACGACAUGACCGGAGUAGAUGAGAGGGUGGCGGAAUUUCCGGUGUAGCGGUGAAAUGCGUAGAGAUCGGAAGGAACGUCAAUGGCGAAGGCAGCCACCUGGCACCAUACUGACACUGAGGCGCGAAAGCGUGGGGAUCAAACAGG
RNAcentral lists this ribosomal RNA (253 nucleotides) under uncultured bacterium. RNAcentral's name for it is "partial 16S ribosomal RNA". It matches the Rfam family "Bacterial small subunit ribosomal RNA", at positions 524 to 776 of the family's 1533-position model. The record is from RNAcentral.